UACGUAGGGUGCGAGCGUUGUCCGGAAUUACUGGGCGUAAAGAGCUCGUAGGUGGUUUGUCGCGUUGUUCGUGAAAACUCACAACUCAAUUGUGGGCGUGCGGGCGAUACGGGCAGACUGGAGUACUGCAGGGGAGACUGGAAUUCCUGGUGUAGCGGUGGAAUGCGCAGAUAUCAGGAGGAACACCGGUGGCGAAGGCGGGUCUCUGGGCAGUAACUGACGCUGAGGAGCGAAAGCAUGGGGAGCGAACAGG
This 253-nucleotide ribosomal RNA is filed under the name uncultured bacterium. RNAcentral describes it as "partial 16S ribosomal RNA". It matches the Rfam family "Bacterial small subunit ribosomal RNA", at positions 524 to 776 of the family's 1533-position model. The record is from RNAcentral.